CUCCUGGGAAGUCCUCGUGUUGCGCCCGGGUGCGAUCAUACCCACACUAAUGAACCGGA
This 59-nucleotide ribosomal RNA is filed under the name Quercus cf. castaneifolia Denk 996078. The record is from RNAcentral. Lineage: Eukaryota; Viridiplantae; Streptophyta; Magnoliopsida; Fagales; Fagaceae.